AUUUCGCUCAAAUCGACUACUGACUAGUAGUGUCAAGUGGGUAAUACCAAAGCUCAGAUAAGAAUGGAUUUGCUGUGGAUAAUUUCCAUCUCACUCAGGUAUUUGGUUGGCUCCAGCAUGUUUUGUUCAGCCUUUUACUAAUGCCUUCAUCUUUGCACUGAGUAUCCACAUUUCUCUCAAGCUGCUAAAAUUGAUUUAAAGCUGAAAAGAUAAGAAAACGGACAAGACAUAUUUUCAAAUUGCAAUUGAAGGAAAAUACCACAUCUUUUCAAAGGAACCACCUCCUGCCUGUUUGUCUGCAGCCAAAGCUUUGCAGUGAGGAGAAAAUGCAGCACAGCCAGGAGUGUCCUGGGCUCCAGAAAGCAUUUCAGCCUGUGGAGAUGAUCAAAGGAGCUUCACUAAAGCUAAUAGAUGAAAUGUUUCUGUAAAGCUGUUUUACAGGUCAUAAACCUUUUCCCAGGUCUGAAAAUCCUGUUGGUAAAGAAGAGUGGAGAUGCCUGCACUGAUGUAACCAAAGAGCAAGUGUGGCUGUUGUGAGAACUGUACAUUGCCAAGUGUUUUUCUGGAAGAAGCAUCUUCUUGUGAUCAGGGCUGGUCAGGGAAAAGUUUUUAAGACCAUCUACAGCAGCUUGUGUCGUGCAUUGCAAUUUUCUCAGCUACGUGAUGGACUUUGUGCAGCUUUUAAAGGACAACAUGUCAUGGUACAGAAAAUUCUCUCAGUCUGUGAUUAGGAGAUGACUGAAUUCCCAGAGCAUGAGCCACACUUAGGGCUGUCACCUUCCACUUGUGAAGCUACAGGAAAAAAGACCUGGUGUAGUCAUGAUCCAGUUCAAAAGGCACA
Passer montanus (Eurasian tree sparrow) is the source of this 841-nucleotide long non-coding RNA. RefSeq lists it as uncharacterized. The transcript is spliced from 7 exons. The record is from RefSeq and is a predicted model, not a curated record. Lineage: Eukaryota; Metazoa; Chordata; Aves; Passeriformes; Passeridae.